GACGAACGCUGGCGGCGUGCUUAACACAUGCAAGUCGAACGGAAAGGCCCUGCUUUUGUGGGGUGCUCGAGUGGCGCACGGGUGAGUAACACGUGAGUAACCUGCCCUUGUCUUUGGGAUAACUUCAGGAAACUGGGGCUAAUACCGGAUAGGAGCUCCUGCUGCAUGGUGGGGGUUGGAAAGUUUCGGCGGUUGGGGAUGGACUCGCGGCUUAUCAGCUUGUUUGGGGGGUAGUGGCUUACCAAGGCUUUGACGGGUAGGCGGCCUGAGAGGGUGACCGGCGACAUUGGGCCUAAGAGACGGACCAGUCUCGUACGGGAGGCAGCAGGGGGGAAUAUUGCACAAUGGGCGGAAGCCUGAGGCAGCAACGCCGCGUGCGGGAUGCCGGCCUUCGGGUUGUAAACCGCUUUCGACUGUGACGAAGCGUUAGUGACGGUAAUGGGUAAAGAAGCACCGGCUAACUACGUG
RNAcentral lists this ribosomal RNA (468 nucleotides) under uncultured bacterium. RNAcentral's name for it is "partial 16S ribosomal RNA". It matches the Rfam family "Bacterial small subunit ribosomal RNA", at positions 28 to 507 of the family's 1533-position model. The record is from RNAcentral.